UCUAAUAUGGCAGAAAAGUGCACUGGAUUUAAGCCCCAAAUAUAAAGAAUAUAAACUUUUAUUAGAA
This 67-nucleotide transfer RNA is filed under the name Tachycines zorzini. Its description in RNAcentral is "tRNA-Leu". The record is from RNAcentral. Lineage: Eukaryota; Metazoa; Arthropoda; Insecta; Orthoptera; Rhaphidophoridae.